GCACAGACACACAAAGAUUACAGCUGAUAUCUGCUAAAACCUGCUGCUCAACUUGACACAAAUCCAAUCUCUGGGCAGUUCUGUGACUGUGAGCAUACACUGAUGCCAUCAAGCCAACCGGCAGAGCAGCCAGCCCACGCCUGAUGUUCCCUGGAUACAGCGUGGAGCCGGGCUGAACGGCGAUGACAGAUGGGUGCUGAGAUACCAGAGACCUGUGAGGCAGUCACUUUCCCCCCACAGACAGUAUGUGAAAGAUCCGCCUUUACCGAACGCUGAUCCUGCCCAUUCUACUAUACGGCACCGAGACGUGGACAAUGCUCAAACACGACCUGAGCAAGCUCGAAGUUUUCCAAAUGUGUUGCCUUUUGAUGCGUUCUCUGCAUUUCCCUUCGCGAACGUCAUUUGAAUGACGCCAUCCUCACCAGCUGCGGCAGCCAACUAACGAUCGGCGACCUAAUCCAGCGCCGCCGACUCCGUUGGUUUGGCCACAUUUGUCGAAUGGACCCGAGCCGCUGCCCCCAUGGCCUACUCUGGUUGACCCGCUCCACUGAUUGGAGGAUGCAUCAAAAUGCACCAAAGAAGACAUGGAUGAAACAAAUUCAGGAUGAUUUGAAGGCCCUUCGACUUGACCUCGAGCAGGCAAGAACCAUCGCCUUAGAUCGAGAAGCGUGGAAGAUAAUCGUUGGUCAAGCAAGACAACCUGCGGCACCUACAGCAGCGUACUGGUUGCGCAGCCGACCACCGCCGCUGGACGCCCGCUAAGGACAAGAAGAAUGUUCCACAAAUAGUUACAUCCGCUUUUCAAGCAAUAACCAAGAUCCCCCAGGAAGCAAACUGCAUGUUCUUCAGAAAAUAGCAGAGGUGUUUCUGUUUUUAAUCAGUGUUUUAAUAUUUAUAAAUGCUUAAGAUUUAGUAAAUGUAUUUUUAUUUUAAUAUGUAACUUGCAUGUAACCAAAAAUGUGG
Molecule: long non-coding RNA, 963 nt
Organism: Astatotilapia calliptera (eastern happy)
Lineage: Eukaryota; Metazoa; Chordata; Actinopteri; Cichliformes; Cichlidae
Source: Ensembl